UUGACAUUAAUCAAAUAUUUCACUGAAGAGUAUUUCCACACCUGGGUUGUUUCCACACCUGAUUUAAUGUUUUUAGCUAGAGUUAAAACCAAUCUGCAGAUUUAUGAAAUA
This is a long non-coding RNA of Gavialis gangeticus (Gharial), 111 nucleotides long. RefSeq lists it as uncharacterized. Lineage: Eukaryota; Metazoa; Chordata; Crocodylia; Gavialidae. The record is from RefSeq and is a predicted model, not a curated record. The transcript is spliced from 3 exons.